Molecule: long non-coding RNA, 1097 nt
Organism: Mustela erminea (ermine)
Lineage: Eukaryota; Metazoa; Chordata; Mammalia; Carnivora; Mustelidae
Exons: 3
Source: RefSeq, a predicted model, not a curated record
ACAGGCAGGGAGGCAGCAGGGAAGCAGGUGGUCAGACACACUCUUUCCCGCCUGGGUCUGCCUGAUUUCUCUCUACCUGUGCACCUGCGUUCCCUGCUUCUCCAGGUCUCCCUGACCUCCCGUUCUCAGAUGUGAGCCCGGAGUCCCCAGCCCUGUCACAAGGGGACAUGCAAAGUCACAUUCCCCGUUGCGGUUCCAGAUUCCUAAAAAGGGUCUCUGAUGGGCACAGGUGUGCUCAGGACUCCCUCUGGGCCAUGCCCCUGACCCCCAACAAUCUGGACGUGUACUGCUCGCUGACAGAUGUUUGAUGAUAUUUCUGCUCAGCUCGCCAGUCACCACUUGGGACAACACCUGUGCCUGUCCUAAGCCAUGCGACCCCGAGUAUUUGGAAUCUUAUGUAGAUGAUUAGAAUGACCUGUAAAGGAGAAGACAGAUUCUCUUCUUCUUUCCCUCCUUGUCCGCCCAGUGUCUCUGGGGAUACUGAGGCAGUGUCUGGGGUGGGAUAUGGACAAGCAGAUUCAGCACGCUUUCCUGGGGUCCCUGUGAUACCUUAGACUGUCCUGUAAGCCUCGGGCUGUGUUGCAGUUGGAAUGGCCGAUGCAUUGGUCUUAGAGCAGACCCUGUACUUCGUGGCCCGAUUGCUGAAAAGCCGGCAGCUCAGCAGGUUCCUCGGAGCUGCCAGAACCGAGUCCAAGUCCUUUAUGGACAGCACUGAUGCUCUUGGGAGCGCUGAUGGUUUGUCCUCUCUCUCCUCGGCCUCCCUUGUACAAGCCCUGGGAGCCUAAAUGCCACGCGGGACCUGGCACUGACUCCCGGUUGCAAGGACCGUAUCCCCCCUGCCCCCGCCCGGGGUCACAGGUGCCUCUCAGUGUCUGCAGCCUGAGGACUUGGAGCCCUCUGAAUUAUGAGAGAGGAGGGUGACCUCUCUCUGGCUCCUUUCACAUUGUUUAAAGUUGGGAUGUGUGGACGAGCGUCUGUGGCUGUGGGUCUGCUCCCCACAAACCCUCCUGUCACCACUGACCUUGAGAAAUAGAAGAUCCUCCCCCCUCCCCCCUUUCCCUCCCCCUCCCCCUCCUUCUCCCCCUUCCUCCUUCCCU